RNAcentral lists this long non-coding RNA (5295 nucleotides) under Salmo salar (Atlantic salmon). RNAcentral describes it as "lncRNA (ENSSSAG00000109908.1)". The record is from RNAcentral. Lineage: Eukaryota; Metazoa; Chordata; Actinopteri; Salmoniformes; Salmonidae.
AUAAUGGGGAAGGACACAGCUAAUGUAAUAAUGGGGAAGGACACAGCUAAUGUAAUAAUGGGAAGGACACAGCUAAUGUAAUAAUGGGGAAGGACACAGCUAAUGUAAUAAUGGGGAAGGACACAGCUAAUUUAAUAAUGGGGAAGGACACAGCUAAUGUAAUAAUGGGGAAGGACACAGCUAAUGUAAUAAUGGGGAAGGACACAGCUAAUGUAAUAAUGGAGAAGGACACAGCUAAUGUAAUAAUGGGAAGGACACAGAUAAUGUAAUAAUGGGGAAGGACACAGAUAAUGUAAUAAUGGGGAAGGACAAAGCUAAUGUAAUAAUGGGGAAGGACACAGCUAAUGUAAUAAUGGAGAAGGACACAGCUAAUGUAAUAAUGGGGAAGGACACAGCUAAUGUAAUAAUGGAGCAAGACACAGCUAAUGUAAUAAUGGGGAAGGACACAGCUAAUGUAAUAAUGGGGAAGGACACAGCUAAUGUAAUAAUGGGGAAGGACACAGAUAAUGUAAUAAUGAGGAAGGACACAGCUAAUGUAAUAAUGGGAAGGACACAGCUAAUGUAAUAAUGGAGAAGGACACAGCUAAUGUAAUAAUGGGGAAGGACACAUCUAAUGUAAUAAUGGGGAAGGACACAGCUAAUGUAAUAAUGGGGAAGGACACAGCUAAUGUAAUAAUGGGGAAGGACACAGCUAAUGUAAUAAUGGGGAAGGACACAGCUAAUGUAAUAAUGGGAAGGACACAGCUAAUGUAAUAAUGGAGAAGGACACAGCUAAUGUAAUAAUGAGGAAGGACACAGCUAAUGUAAUAAUGGGGAAGGACACAGCUAAUGUAAUAAUGGAGAAGGACACAGCUAAUGUAAUAAUGGGAAGGACACAGCUAAUGUAAUAAUGGGGAAGGACACAGCUAAUGUAAUAAUGGGGAAGGACACAGCUAAUGUAAUAAUGGGGAAGGACACAGCUAAUGUAAUAAUGGGGAAGGACACAGCUAAUGUAAUAAUGGGGAAGGACACAGCUAAUGUAAUAAUGGGAAGGACACGGAUAAUGUAAUAAUGGGGAAGGACACAGCUAAUGUAAUAAUGGGGAAGGACACAUCUAAUGUAAUAAUGGGGAAGGACACAGCUAAUGUAAUAAUGGGAAGGACACGGCUAAUGUAAUAAUGGGGAAGGACACAGCUAAUGUAAUAAUGGGGAAGGACACAGCUAAUGUAAUAAUGGGGAAGGACACGGGUAAUGUAAUAAUGGGGAAGGACACGGGUAAUGUAAUAAUGGGGAAGGACAUGGGUAAUGUAAUAAUGGGGAAGGACACGGGUAAUGUAAUAAUGGGGAAGGACACGGGUAAUGUAAUUAGGGGCCAUAAAGCGGUGUCUAGAUGUUUACAAGCUCUCGACUUGUCCACCGUCAGGUUGAGGGGACUGAGGACGAAGCCCGGCAGGCCGCAGCGCCAGACAGGACCAAAGCAGCAGAAUCGGAGACAGGAGAAACAUCAACAACAUCCACAUCAACCCCAGCCCCACCAGAUACCCACUGUGGAGGAAGAGGAGGAGGAGGAAGAGGAGAGGAGGCAGUAACCAUCAACCUCAAGCCCUCGAACGCCUACGAGUUCAACCAGUCCCUGAACGCAGCGCGGACCCAGUCCGACCUCCCAGCCUGCGCUGAGCUGCUGAGCUGUGUUCCCCCUGAGACUCUGCCCGUCUACCUCAGUAAUCAGCUGGAUGGACACACGGUCAGCUUUGUUAUGCAGGCCCUGGAAACACAGCUCUUACGGAAGGAGCCUAACUUAGUCUACCAGCACCUCAACCACCUACAUACUGCUGACAGGUUCUCGGUCGUCGUGAUGCUCCUGGAGAAGAGUGAACGUGAUCAGAUGACUCGACUGUUUGACCGUCUGUCCGCCGUGGACAGUGAUGCCUUCAGUAAGAACGACGUGCAGAACCUGGCCAACAAGUACAUCUGACCUCGUCUGGCCCUGCUGGAGCACGUCCCAAAUAGGCCCCUAUUUACCUAGUGCACUAUGGAGGGAAUAAGGCGCCAUAAUGGGACGGUCGUAAGACGCCUAUCAACAUCGCAAGCCGACUUUAAAAACGAAUCCAGACUGGAAAAAUCACCUUUCCGUCAUAAAUAAAGACUAAAUAUUAUUUUGGUAGGUCAAGUCUUAAUUUACCCAUGAUUACAUCGCGUUGUUUUGAUGAUGUUCUCGAACUCGACCCCUUCGUUCUGGCGUGCACCUUCCUGUCGUACGCCGAAGCGUCCCGACGUAACAGACAGGAUCUAUGCAACGUUGGACAACACGACUCAGAAGCUGCUGAACGUACUGGGGAGCGUUAUGGACCCAAAACCCACCUCUUUCUUUCUCUCAAGUUCUCUCGGUAUAAUAUCACGUCUCUACCUACUGUUACUAGGUAUCUCUCUCUCCAAAUACCUUUUAUAAUAUCACAUCUCUACCUACUGUUACUAGGUCUCUCUCUCUCUCUCUCUCUCUCUACCAGACCAUUCUCUCUCUCUCUCUCUCUCUCUCUCUCUCUCUCUCUCUCUCUCUCUCUCUCUCUCUCUCUCUCUCUCUCUCUCUCUCUCUCUCUCUCUCUCUCUCUCUCUCUCUCUCUCUCUCUCUCUCUCUCUCUCUCUCUCUCUCUCUCUCUAAAUACCUUUUAUAAUAUCACAUCUCUACCUACUGUUACUAGGUAUCUCUCUCUCCCUCUCUCUCUCUCUCUCUCUCUCUCUCUCUCUCUCUCUCUCCAAAUACCUUUUAUAAUAUCACAUCUCUACCUACUGUUACUAGGUAUCUCUCUCUCCCUCUCUCUCUCUCCCCCUCUCUCUCUCACACACACACACACACACACACACACACACACACACACACACACACACACACACACACACACACACACACACACACACACACACACACACACACACACACACACACACACAACCUGGAAGUGUUUUAGCUUUAGUUGACUGGCAAGUAAAUGUUGAAAUGCUGUGAACUAUUUAGCUUUUAAAACAUUGAUUCAUAGGUCCAAUGUACAAGAUAUCUUUCAAGCAUUCCCCUUCUGGGUCCGUGUGCUGCGUCCAGGUCCAUUCUCCAGGCUGGCAGAACCAUUAAAAUAAAAAAAAAGACAGAUAACACCCAUAACAAUGUAUGACUACUUUUCCAGGCGGUUUGACUGGCCAAUAGAGGUUGAUUUGUACCCGGGUUAGAAAUUUAAAAAAAAAAAUGGGGAAGGGGGACAAUGAAUUCCAAGCUAGGAGACAUAACGACUUGAAUUGACUGGGCUAGCGUUAGCCCCAGAUGCUAUUCAGAAAAACAACACUUUGUAUUACAGCUUUUACCAUCCUGAUAUUAAAGUAGAUUAACGCAUGCUGCAUAUCAGAAUAUUAACCAAGUGUAUAACAAUCCAAAAAAAAAACUAUUUCCUCUGGGGGUUCAAGGAGUCUUUACCAUCCAUUCUCUGUCUAGAAAUACAAUGCUAGUUUUGGAAGUUGCCUCAGUUCUGUGUAUGAAAACAAUGAUGAAUGAAGCAACUUACAAUGUGCACAAUACUAAAUGGGUAUUAUACAGUACUGCAAUUCAAGGUAAAUGCAAAGUAAUUGUGUAAAAACAUUUGUCUUUUGAAGAAAUGACCAGAAGUUAUGAAAAUGCCCCAGCCAGUCAGCCAGCCAGCCAGCAGAGCACCCUUCCAUCUGCAGUAAUCAGAAGUAUAAUGCUCUGUAACAUGCAGCCAGCCAGCCAGUCAGCCAGCCAGCCAGCCAGUGGAGCACCCUUCCAUCUGCAGUAAUCAGCAGUCUAAUGCUCUGUAACAUGCAGCCAGCCAGCCAGCCAGCCAGCCAGCCAGCCAGCCAGUCAGCAGAGCACCCUUCCAUCUGCUCACAGUGGAGAGAAGACAAGCAGCAUCUUUGUCAGAUGUGCCUUUGGAGUUCAGCUUUUGGAUCUACACUGUUCUGUUGUGUACCCAUUUCAGAUGUUCUGUUGUGUACCCAUUUCAGAUGUUCUGUUGGGUACCCAUUUCAGAUGUUCUGUUGUGUACCCAUUUCAGAUGUUCUGUUGGGUACCCAUUUCAGAUGUUCUGUUCUGUUGGGUACCCAUUUCAGAUGUUCUGUUCUGUUGGGUACCCAUUUCAGAUGUUCUGUUGGGUACCCAUUUCAGAUGUUCUGUUCUGUUGGGUACCCAUUUCAGAUGUUCUGUCGUGUACCCAUUUCAGAUGUUCUGUUCUGUUGGGUACCCAUUUCAGAUGUUCUGUCGGGUACCCAUUUCAGAUGUUCUGUUGGGUACCCAUUUCAGAUGUUCUGUUGGGUACCCAUUUCAGAUGUUCUGUUGUGUACCCAUUUCAGAUGUUCUGUUGGGUACCCAUUUCAGAUGUUCUGUUGUGUACCCAUUUCAGAUGUUCUGUUGGGUACCCAUUUCAGAUGUUCUGUUGUUCUGUUGGGUACCCAUUUCAGAUGUUCUGUCGUGUACCCAUUUCAGAUGUUCUGUUGUUCUGUUGUGUACCCAUUUCAGAUGUUCUGUUGUGUACCCAUUUCAGAUGCCCAUUUCAGAUGUUCUGUUGGGUACCCAUUUCAGAUGUUCUGUUGGGUACCCAUUUCAGAUGUUCUGUUGGGUACCCAUUUCAGAUGUUCUGUUGUGUACCCAUUUCAGAUGUUCUGUUGGGUACCCAUUUCAGAUGUUCUGUUGGGUACCCAUUUCAGAUGUUCUGUUGUUCUGUUGGGUACCCAUUUCAGAUGUUCUGUCGUGUACCCAUUUCAGAUGUUCUGUUGUUCUGUUGUGUACCCAUUUCAGAUGUUCUGUUGUGUACCCAUUUCAGAUGUUCUGUUGGGUACCCAUUUCAGAUGUUCUGUUGUUCUGUUGGGUACCCAUUUCAGAUGUUCUGUCGUGUACCCAUUUCAGAUGUUCUGUUGUUCUGUUGUGUACCCAUUUCAGAUGUUCUGUUGUUCUGUUGUGUACCCAUUUCAGAUGUUCUGUUGUGUACCCAUUUCAGAUGCCCAUUUCAGAUGUUCUGUUGGGUACCCAUUUCAGAUGUUCUGUUGGGUACCCAUUUCAGAUGUUCUGUUGUGUACCCAUUUCAGAUGCCCAUUUCAGAUGUUCUGUUGUUGCAGAUUUAAAAACAUUUAAAAUGACUUGUCAAAAUGUUAGUGUGUUCUUCUUUCUAAAAUGAAUGAAUGUACCGUGUUGAAUUCAGGGAGACGAGCGGAGCGGCAGCUGUUUGUAGCCUGGAGCAAUAGCUGCAUGGUCAGCGGGCUAGCGGCUCAGGGAGGGGGUCAGCAGGCUAGCGGCUCAGGGAGGGGGUCAGCGGCUCAGGG